This 465-nucleotide ribosomal RNA is filed under the name uncultured bacterium. RNAcentral's name for it is "partial 16S ribosomal RNA". It matches the Rfam family "Bacterial small subunit ribosomal RNA", at positions 338 to 795 of the family's 1533-position model. The record is from RNAcentral.
CCUACGGGUGGCAGCAGUGGGGAAUAUUGCGCAAUGGGCGAAAGCCUGACGCAGCGACGCCGCGUGAGGGAUGAAGGUCUUCGGAUCGUAAACCUCUGUCAGCAGGGAAGAACGGUCACUGUGCUAAUCAGCAGUGAAUUGACGGUACCUGCAAAGGAAGCACCGGCUAACUCCGUGCCAGCAGCCGCGGUAAUACGGAGGGUGCGAGCGUUAAUCGGAAUUACUGGGCGUAAAGCGCUCGUAGGCGGUAUGUCAAGUCAAGGGUGAAAUCCCCGCGCUCAACGUGGGAACUGCCUUUGAAACUGGCAAACUGGAGUGUGGGAGAGGAGAGUGGAAUUCCAUGUGUAGGAGUGAAAUGCGUAGAUAUCUGGAGGAACAUCAGUGGCGAAGGCGACUAUCUGGCACAUAACUGACGCUGAGGAGCGAAAGCGUGGGUAGCAAACAGGAUUAGAUACCCCUGUAGUC